Molecule: ribosomal RNA, 503 nt
Filed under: uncultured bacterium
Lineage: Bacteria
Description: partial 16S ribosomal RNA
Rfam family: Bacterial small subunit ribosomal RNA
Source: RNAcentral
AUUGAACGCUGGCGGCAGGCUUAACACAUGCAAGUCGAGCGGGGUGAUGGUGCUUGCACUAUCACUUAGCGGCAGACGGGUGAGUAAUGCUUAGGAAUCUGCCUAUUAGUGGGGGACAACAUCUCGAAAGGGAUGCUAAUACCGCAUACGUCCUACGGGAGAAAGCAGGGGAUCACUUGUGACCUUGCGCUAAUAGAUGAGCCUAAGUCGGAUUAGCUAGUUGGUGGGGUAAAGGCCUACCAAGGCGACGAUCUGUAGCGGGUCUGAGAGGAUGAUCCGCCACACUGGGACUGAGACACGGCCCAGACUCCUACGGGAGGCAGCAGUGGGGAAUAUUGGACAAUGGGGGGAACCCUGAUCCAGCCAUGCCGCGUGUGUGAAGAAGGCCUUAUGGUUGUAAAGCACUUUAAGCGAGGAGGAGGCUCUUUUGGUUAAUACCCAAGCUGAGUGGACGUUACUCGCAGAAUAAGCACCGGCUAACUCUGUGCCAGCAGCCGCAGUAA